Non-coding RNA from Bos taurus (domestic cattle), 69 nucleotides. The record is from Rfam. Lineage: Eukaryota; Metazoa; Chordata; Mammalia; Artiodactyla; Bovidae.
CCUGGUGGCUCAGAUGGUAAAGAAUCUGCCUGCAAUGCAGGAGACCCAGGUUCAAUCCCUGGGUCAGGA